RNAcentral lists this ribosomal RNA (493 nucleotides) under uncultured bacterium. RNAcentral's name for it is "bacterial SSU rRNA". It matches the Rfam family "Bacterial small subunit ribosomal RNA", at positions 28 to 534 of the family's 1533-position model. The record is from RNAcentral.
GACGAACGCUGGCGGCACGCUUAACACAUGCAAGUCGAACGGAGAUAAUUUGAGUUUACUUAGAUUAUCUUAGUGGCGGACGGGUGAGUAACACGUGAGCAACCUACCUUUGAGAGAGGGAUAGCUUCUGGAAACGGAUGGUAAUACCUCAUAACGUAGUUUUACCGCAUGAUAGGACUACCAAAGAUUUAUCACUCAAAGAUGGGCUCGCGUCUGAUUAGCUAGAUGGUGAGGUAACGGCUCACCAUGGCGACGAUCAGUAGCCGGACUGAGAGGUUGAACGGCCACAUUGGGACUGAGACACGGCCCAGACUCCUACGGGAGGCAGCAGUGGGGAAUAUUGCACAAUGGGGGAAACCCUGAUGCAGCGAUGCCGCGUGGAGGAAGAAGGUUUUCGGAUUGUAAACUCCUGUCUUAAAGGACGAUAAUGACGGUACUUUAGGAGGAAGCUCCGGCUAACUACGUGCCAGCAGCCGCGGUAAAAUGUAGCGUG